Molecule: long non-coding RNA, 660 nt
Filed under: Helianthus annuus (common sunflower)
Lineage: Eukaryota; Viridiplantae; Streptophyta; Magnoliopsida; Asterales; Asteraceae
Description: sRNA HanXRQr2_Chr06g0270481
Source: RNAcentral
AUGACAGCAAACACUAGCUGGUGCCCGGGGCACACUCGGUGACCCCAUGCGGGGACCGAUUUCACCGAUCGGUGAGGUGCUGCCGGUGCAGCGGGGAGCCAAAAACGGGGAGGUUGAUCGGUGAGGAGGCACCGAAGAGAGGGGAGGAGAGAGAAGGUGGGCCCCAUUCAUCAACCAAUGAAAAAUUUUCUUUUUCUUUUUUUUUAAUAAAAAACCAAGUCACCUAAGAGGGGAGUGCCGCCAUCAAUUUAGGGUGUGAGGGGAGUUGACGUGGCACACGAGGAUUGGUUAUACGUAAGAGAGGGGACUCCCCUCUUAUGGGAGUGCCCCUUACACCCUAAUCACGAAUCUUGACGUUAAUCCAAAACCAUUCAUCUAGUUUUUUUUUUUUUUGGGAAACUUUAUCAACUACCAAACUUAGAGAUCGAGACCUUUAACAUAUAUACACACAACCGCAAAACUGUUUUCGACACAUCCCUAUCUCUCGCACACUCUCUCUCGGUAAUAUAGCCUGCCGAAGAUUGAAGUCCACCGGAGUUACAAAACGCCACCGGAGUUCUCCCAGAAUAAUCGAAGCACGCCGGACAACUUUCUUUCUCUCCCGCUGUCGGAUAAUCGUUUCCGUUCGUUCGGUUCCUCAUCUUUCCUUGUGCAUUAUCU